RNAcentral lists this long non-coding RNA (380 nucleotides) under Physcomitrium patens. RNAcentral's name for it is "long non-coding RNA (PPAT_LNC004540)". Lineage: Eukaryota; Viridiplantae; Streptophyta; Bryopsida; Funariales; Funariaceae. The record is from RNAcentral.
GAAUACAUUUUUCCAUUACCGCUUACAGCAGCAACUUGGGGAAUACGGUUCCUGUCGUUUACCAUCUCUACGCAGCCAAUCUACUGACGAUGGCGAAUGAUGAUCGGGCUUCGGGUUGGACAAGCGAGCUUGCCGCGUGCAUGUUUGGUCGGGAUCGCAAAUAAUAGCGAUGCAGGACAACUGCGGCUAAUUUCUCCGAAGAUCGGAGGUCCUAUGGGCGAGUUCCCACACUCCAGAUUGGAAGAACGUCCGGAAAUGGAAAACUGAUUUCCGGAACGAUGCUGACGAUGCGUUGAGCAUGUCCUACUAGAUCUCAUGCGACGCCCUAAGUAUCUUAGAAAUAUCAGACAGGAAAUGUGGAGCUUGUCGGCCAACCUGCA